Molecule: long non-coding RNA, 421 nt
Filed under: Homo sapiens (human)
Lineage: Eukaryota; Metazoa; Chordata; Mammalia; Primates; Hominidae
Description: HSALNT0147580
Source: RNAcentral
AUCACUGCUGCAUCUGUGGCAUAUUUCUUUAUAACAUUUAACUCUGUCCGACCUGGGUGAAACUCACAGCAAGAAGAAAGAAAAGCACUUUGAAGAAAUGGAGUCAAGGGGGAAAAGGAAGACUCCACCCCAUCUAGACUAGAUGUAUGAAUAACAGAAGAUUGGGUUUGUAGUCAUCUUCCUUCAACCCCUCCCCUUGUCCCCAGCUCCAUACAGAGAAAUAACCUUUAAAUGAAUACAAUUUGGGGAAAGUAUAAUACUGUUUGAUUUCAUCAGACUUACCUAGGCAGUGAAUUGUCUUUCCUCCUUUUUACCAUGCUCGUAGGUUAAUAUUGAAUUAGUUGCAUAUGCCCAUAUAAUUUCAGUACAUUGAAGUAAAUCUUUACCAUUAUAAUUAUAUAAGUGCCUUCUAACUAGGUGG